Molecule: microRNA, 22 nt
Filed under: Echinops telfairi (small Madagascar hedgehog)
Lineage: Eukaryota; Metazoa; Chordata; Mammalia; Afrosoricida; Tenrecidae
Description: Ete-Mir-505-v2_3p (mature (co-guide))
Source: RNAcentral
AUCAACAUUUGCUGCUUUCCUC